CGCGGGGUAGAGCAGUGGUAAGCUUGCUACUUUGACUUGGUAGAGGUCGCGUGUUCGAGUCACGCCCCCGCAACUA
Molecule: transfer RNA, 76 nt
Filed under: Parabacteroides sp. AM08-6
Lineage: Bacteria; Pseudomonadati; Bacteroidota; Bacteroidia; Bacteroidales; Tannerellaceae
Description: tRNA-Val
Rfam family: tRNA
About the family: Transfer RNA (tRNA) molecules are approximately 80 nucleotides in length. Their secondary structure includes four short double-helical elements and three loops (D, anti-codon, and T loops).
Source: RNAcentral